Molecule: ribosomal RNA, 501 nt
Filed under: Spencermartinsiella sp.
Lineage: Eukaryota; Fungi; Ascomycota; Dipodascomycetes; Dipodascales; Trichomonascaceae
Description: LSU rRNA
Rfam family: Eukaryotic large subunit ribosomal RNA
Source: RNAcentral
CAAAAGCUCAAAUUUGAAAUCUGGCACCUUUGGUGUCCGAGUUGUAAUUUGAAGAAAGUAACUUUUGGAAUAAGCCUUGCAUAAGUUCCUUGGAACAGGACGUCAUAGAGGGUGAGAAUCCCGUAUAUGGUGGGGUAUUUAUUUCAAUGUAAAGUGCUUUCGAAGAGUCGAGUUGUUUGGGAAUGCAGCUCUAAGUGGGUGGUAAAUUCCAUCUAAAGCUAAAUAUUGGCGAGAGACCGAUAGCGAACAAGUACAGUGAUGGAAAGAUGAAAAGAACUUUGAAAAGAGAGUGAAAAAGUACGUGAAAUUGUUGAAAGGGAAGGGCUUGAAAUCAGACUUGGUAUUCAGUGAUCAGCAAUCUCUCGGGGUUGUGCACUUGCUGUUUACUGGGCCAGCAUCGGUUUUGACGGUGAGAUAAUAGCACUUGAAUGUGGCUCUCUUCGGGGAGUGUUUAUAGCUUGUGUUGAUAUCAUCAGUCGGGAUCGAGGACCGCGCAUUUUG